GGGGAUGUAGCUCAAAUGGUAGAGCGCUAGCCUUGCAUGAGAGAGGUACAGCGUUCGAUCCCCCGCAUCUCCA
This 73-nucleotide transfer RNA is filed under the name Gossypium barbadense (sea-island cotton). It matches the Rfam family "tRNA". Rfam says of the family: Transfer RNA (tRNA) molecules are approximately 80 nucleotides in length. Their secondary structure includes four short double-helical elements and three loops (D, anti-codon, and T loops). Lineage: Eukaryota; Viridiplantae; Streptophyta; Magnoliopsida; Malvales; Malvaceae. The record is from Rfam by way of RNAcentral. RNAcentral also lists the same sequence under 1 other name.